GUGAAACUUACUCCUUCUCUUCAAUUAUAUGAGGCUUCCUAUAGGCUCCGGCUUUUCUUGAUACUUCAAAAAACACAAAAAGAAAUUUAUAUUUAUUGAUGAUGGAAGAAGAGCAAAGCAAAUGAGAGACAGAGACACAGACCCUAUAUCAGAGAGUAAAUUGGUGAAGUGGAUUGGAUCACAUAAGGUACGUAACUAGAAGAAGUAAGUGAUCUUUUUGUGUCUGUGCAUAUAAGCUAAUUUUGAGACCUUGGUUUUGUUUUCCUCUUUCUGUUGCGUGAAGCCAUGGAGUCUCCGAGAAACCAUGGAGGCUCUGAAGAGGAGGAAUACAGCAGUUGUGAGUCAGGGUGGACUAUGUACAUAGAAGACGCCUUCCAUGGAAAUGACCAAUCAUCUGUUGUUGUCGAUGAUGAUGAUGAUGAUACACAGGUUAAAGAGGCUGAUGAUGGUUAUGAGAACGAUGAUGGCGAUACUAGUGAUGA
RNAcentral lists this small RNA (482 nucleotides) under Arabidopsis thaliana (thale cress). Its description in RNAcentral is "ATSL018530". Lineage: Eukaryota; Viridiplantae; Streptophyta; Magnoliopsida; Brassicales; Brassicaceae. The record is from RNAcentral.